RNA transcript from Symphalangus syndactylus (siamang), 5033 nucleotides. It is a transcript of the gene named F-box protein 25, with no coding region annotated. Lineage: Eukaryota; Metazoa; Chordata; Mammalia; Primates; Hylobatidae. The record is from RefSeq and is a predicted model, not a curated record.
UUCCCUGCGGCGCGCCGGGAGGCGGCGGCCCACUUCCGGCAAUAAUCGCCGUGUCGCCGUCAGGUGCGGGCCCAGGUGGCGGGCGCGCCCGUUGUGCACUGGGGGCCGCGGGCGCGUCAGGUGAAGACUAGGGGCCGCAGGCGCGCCAGGAGAACUAUGCCAUUUUUGGGUCAGGACUGGAGAUCUCCUGGAUGGAGUUGGAUUAAGACAGAAGAUGGCUGGAAGAGAUGUGAAUCCUGUAGUCAGAAACUUGAAAGAGAGAAUAACCAUUGUAACAUCAGUCACAGCAUUAUCUUAAAUAGUGAAGAUGGAGAAAUAUUCAAUAAUGAAGAGCAUGAAUAUGCAUCCAAAAAAAGGAAAAAGGACCAUUUUAGAAAUGACACAAAUACUCAAAGUUUUUAUCGUGAAAAAUGGAUCUAUGUCCAUAAAGAAAGCACAAAAGAAAGGCAUGGCUAUUGCACCUUGGGAGAAGCCUUCAAUCGGUUAGACUUCUCAAGUGCAAUUCAAGAUAUCCGAAGGUUCAAUUAUGUGGUCAAACUGUUGCAGCUAAUUGCAAAAUCCCAGUUAACUUCAUUGAGUGGUGUGGCACAAAAGAAUUACUUCAACAUUUUGGAUAAAAUCGUUCAAAAGGUUCUUGAUGACCACCACAAUCCUCGCUUAAUCAAAGAUCUUCUCCAAGACCUAAGCUCUACCCUCUGCAUUCUCAUUAGAGGAGUAGGGAAGUCUGUAUUAGUGGGAAACAUCAAUAUUUGGAUUUGCCGAUUAGAAACUAUUCUCACCUGGCAACAACAGCUACAGGAUCUUCAGAUGACUAAGCAAGUGAACAAUGGCCUCACCCUCAGUGACCUUCCUCUGCACAUGCUGAACAACAUCCUAUACCGGUUCUCAGACGGAUGGGACAUCAUCACCUUAGGCCAGGUGACCCCCACGUUGUAUAUGCUCAGUGAAGACAGACAGCUGUGGAAGAAGCUAUGUCAGUACCAUUUUGCUGAAAAGCAGUUUUGUAGACAUUUGAUCCUUUCAGAAAAAGGUCAUAUUGAAUGGAAGUUGAUGUACUUUGCACUUCAGAAACAUUACCCAGCGAAGGAGCAGUACGGAGACACGCUGCAUUUCUGUCGGCACUGCAGCAUUCUCUUUUGGAAGGACUCAGGACACCCCUGCACCGCGGCCGACCCUGACAGCUGCUUCACGCCUGUGUCUCCGCAGCACUUCAUCGACCUCUUCAAGUUUUAAGGGCUGCCCCUGCCAUCCCUACUGGAGAUUGUGAAUCAUGCUGUCUGUGCGGGGCUCAUAGAUGUGCUCCUCCGAGAUGAAACGGAUGUCUGAUUCUGGAAGCCGGAGGAACACGCUGCAACGCACUUCCAGACUCUGCGAGGAAGAGUGGGCAGGCACACAAUCUCAGGAAGACGGUUCAGGGCGGCGGGGACAUUGAUCGUGGGUUUACCGUCAGCUCUGACAGCCCGGCUUGAAGCUUCCUUCUAAGGAUAAAGACUGAGCAGAGACUCCAUGUGUCCUGGGCCCCAGUGGAUCAAAUUAGAAUAUGCAGGAGCCUGGGCAAAUGAACCUAUGACCCUGGGCAGCUGGCAGACUUUAAAAGUGAAUUCCAAGUACAAGCCUGUCUUUUUAAACAUCUGCCCAAGGCUGCCACGGACCAAAUUCCUAAAGAUACCUUGUUGCCCUAGAAAUGUCUCCAAAACUCAAUAACCCACUAGUUCUCCUCCUCCUUCCAGAGACUUGGCUCCCACCUCCCCCAAUUACAUGACCUUCUUCCAUCAAAUCCAUGCUCCACACAAAGAAGAAAACAGCACCUAAUUCUGAUGAAAACGUCUGUCCAUGGGACAAAGCCCUGCAGGGCCCAGCCUUGGCCUUAAGGGAAGGCGGGGUUGGGGGUAUGACACUAGCUCCCCGCAAGAGCUGUGCUUCACCUCACACAACCUCCCUGGCCCUCACUCUGGGUGAGGCAGAAAUGCCACCGGCUCUACUUCCUGUUGAUGUGGGGACAUUGAUCCUCUCUAGGGUUGAGAACCAGGAUUUAGACCCAGAAAUGGACUUUACGGCCUCAAGGGAGAAACAAGCAAGAGAAGAGCAGAAAAUGAACAAAAUGAACAGGAGGAGACCGCAAUGGACAGUGGUUCACAGAAGAGGGCCUGUUUCAGAGGAAAGAAGCAGCCUCUUGGGGGUGGCACACAGGUGAGAGGAGCCAUGGGUCAGGGCACCAAGGAGCCAGCCAGGUGAGAGGGACCCUUGGUGGCACAGGUGCCCCAGGAUCUGCAAGAGGAUUCUAUGAAAGCACACGCUUAAAGAGGCUGCAGGUGAGCCUGCCCGAGAACACCUCCCACACAAGUUGCCCCACGCUCUCCAGGUUUGGCCCCUCCACUGGCUGUUUGGCAGUUCCCGCCCUGAAGCCCCUUGCCCCUCCUCACAGGGCCUCCCACCAUCCCCAACCCUGUCCUCACCCACGAGCUUCCUCAGCAAGCAAUUCUUUAAAGUGAAUCAAUUCUAAAGAGUAUUAAGUAUGUUGUAGCAUAGAUGGCACUCGUGUUACAAAAAUGAAAAAUCCAAGAACUGAAGUUCAGAAGGCCCAGCCCCAACUACACCCCCCGACUUUUCUCAUGUAAAUGGGAGGGUGUUUCAGAACCCCAGUGGCACAUGCUGCCAGGGCAGGGCUCCUCCCUUCUGCUUCCAGUGCCUUCUGCUCCCUGGGCCCAGUGCUCAGCCAUGGGAGGAACCAGUGCAGCUGUCAUGCGGGCAUCUCCUGUGGGUGUCUUGUGAGGGUGGCUGUCAUGCGGUGGCUGCACAGGAAGCAGCCAUGGUAUCUGGGGCUGGGAGGCAGCAGGCACGGGACCCAAACCUGGGCCCUACAAACCCUGGGGACCAUGUCCCAGUGGAAGCACCACCCUGGGCCAAGACCCUGAAACACUAGAGCAGCUUUGGGAAGGUGCUUUCAUGUAGAAUGGAGGGAGACAAAGUGGCUUCCUGGCACUUGGGUGGGAGGUGGCAGGGGCUGCAUGCAGACCUGGGAUGCAGGCCUGAAAGCUCCAUCUCCUCCACCAAGAGCACCCCAGACCCCGACCUCAGCAGCAGGCAAGGGUUGGGGAGGAUGUGCCUUCAAGCUGAUCGUGUUUUGAGUACUUAAUAGAACAUGCUGCAGUCAGGGCAGGCAGAGGCCCGGCCCACAAGUGGAUCCUGCAGAGCACAGCGCAGAUCAGUAGAGGCCCAGAGUAGGGAGUCGCCCAGGCUGCACUCAUGUUGCUGGCAGAGGCCACGGCCUCCUGAGACAGUACUCGGGCCACCACACACCUUACGAGGGAUGCCACCCAUCUGGCCAUGGGAGGCCCAGACUUGACACAGAGGCUCCAGAAGCACACAGCACCAAACCCCAUCAGGGCCCAGCAGCUUCAAAACAAGCUCAAGGCCAAACAGCUGUCUGCCUUGGUGCAAAGAUCCCAACUUCAGCAUCUGACCCCAAAACCCACACCAGAGAGGGACUUCCCUAGUGAAAUGCCAGAGGUCAUGGUGGCAGGUGGCGCCUUCCAGAAGGGAGCCCCGAUGCUCUCACGGUGGCUCAGACCUGGUGCAGGCAGGCCCCUUUCCUGCCGAGACUCUGGGGAUGUGGCCUUGGCCUCGAGCCUGCCCGUCCUCAGCAGGCUGUCCCUGGUGGGCUGUGUGAGCUUCUCUGCACCUGUGAUACUUUUUUUUUUUCCUGGGAAAUGCUGCAUAAAUACCCACAACUGAAUGAAGGUUGCCCUUCCUCCCCACCUCAGCCUGCAGCUCCCAUCAUCUGGUGUCAUUCCACCUGCAACAGAACAAACUCAUUCCAGGCGUUCAAGAGCAGGACUCUUGGACCUCACUCAGCAUCUAUAAAAUGGGCACAGCAAUGCCGGCCUUGCAGGACUGUGCUAAGGCCCCAGAGGGAGGCAAGGGCAAAGGACAGGUGUCUGACGGGUGUGGCGCAAGUAGGUGUCAACGCCUGCUGGGGCCCAGUAGAGCAAGGCCACAGGCUGGUGUUGCUGCUCUAAGCCCUGCCACCUGUCCCCUCCCUGAAAAGCAACAGGAGCUCAGAUGUCGCCUGAGCCUGUCCCAGCCGACUGCAGCAGCAGAGGCAGCCGAGUUUCCUCCAAAGCCCACAGGAGCAGGCAGGCAACGUGGUCAGGCAGCCCUGCCACUUGUCACUGUUCUAAUAAGUACAUAAACAACCUAAAUAAUAAGUACUUAAAGUUUUCAUUGUGCUCACUUCUAGUUUUAUUUCUGAGCUGAGGUUUUUUGGCAGAAAGUUUAGUUGAAUCCUCAAACACAGCUGGCUGUAUGAGCUGGAGUUUUCCACUUCGGGGAACUGAAAUAUAUUAAUUCAAUCAAAAAUAGUUUACUUCCUCAGGGGAAGUAAACUGAUUUUGUUUUGUUUACCUCCCUCCCACCCCAACCUUUCACUGUGCCAAGUCAUUGCCUAAAUUUAAUAGCUUGACAUUCUGGGAGGCCAAUGGCCUUCACCUGAGGAGGGAGCGGGGAGGUCAGCAAGGUGUGCAUGUUCAGCCCACCGUGCUCAAGUUGAGAAGGAAAGAGACAGACCUGACACCACCUAAGGCUUUCAACCCAGUGGAGUUGAAAGCCCCAGACACUGUAACAUUCCUGCCUGGCAAGAGGUCCCCUCUGUGCCUGAAAUGCACUGAGCUGACUCUACCCCAGGCUGUGCCUGCCUCACAGUUUGGUAAAUGAUGACUUCCCAUGAUGCCCACAUGGAAGCUGCACCUUGAGGAGGUACAUGAUACACGCAUGCAGCCAGACAGCAGGACACACGCGUGAGGGGCAGAGGCGCUUCAGAGAUGGCGCCAGCAGGACCCCAGGCUUCCAGUUGCUGGCUCGCUUCCGCACAUGGCAUAUCUAGGAAGCACCAUAGGUAUACACGCACCGUGUUUGUGAAUGGUCAGUACUCUUCUAAUAUUUUUUGACAUAUUCCAGAAAGAUUAAAAACAGGUAAAAUUCACCCCAUAAUUCUUUCAUUUAAACAUAACUAUUAAAAUUUAUCAUUUGUCACA